Molecule: long non-coding RNA, 2728 nt
Organism: Xenopus tropicalis (tropical clawed frog)
Lineage: Eukaryota; Metazoa; Chordata; Amphibia; Anura; Pipidae
Exons: 5
Source: RefSeq, a predicted model, not a curated record
CAACUCUUUUUAUUAUAAAAGUUUGAAAUUUAAUGAGAGUGUUAGGAUUGUAAUAUGGGGUAUUGAAUUGUUUGGAUUUCUACUGUUCCCCAUCCAUUGCAUAGCAGUCCACAGGUAAGUACUGUUUUUCCAAACUUACAUUUGAAUUUACAACUCCUACAGUCCCAAAAGUGCAUUUAUCUGUAUUUUUCUGUGGUCACUGAAAUCUAUGAUAUAUGGGCGAAUUAGUUGGUCCUUAAUUAGACACCUUUAUUCUUUGCAUUGCUUUAUUUCACUGGAGGCCUGAACUUUGAGUUUAUAAGUUUUCUGUAUUGUAGAAAUGGAAUUGAGGCCAGGGAAUACAGAAGACUGGUGUAAUAUAUGGGAUGCAAAUGUAUUAUAGACCAUUGUUAUGUUUUAAUGUAACAUUCAAACAUUUAUUAGAGUACAUCAGAAGUAAUUAUACUAUAAACAAACUGGAUGUAUUCCAGUUAAUGAGCUCGUUCUCAAUGAUAGGUAAAUGGGAUUACUGUGCUUGGGGUUGAGAUUAGGAAACAUAAACUUUUUUUUUUUUUUUAAAUCUGGGCAUCCGUGGUUCACAAAAUGGGCUUUGCUUUGGAACAAAUUUUUCUAAAAGUGGAUUUUAUCAUUUAGUAGGUAAGCGGGAAUACUAUUGCAUAGUAGGGAGCAAUAAACUGUUUUGGUUUAACAGAAUGGAAAUUCUGAUGAUGUUAGAGCUUCAGCCUUGUCUGGUGACUGGGGUGGCCUGUGCUUUGGAUGAGAGUGAAGCAGAGGUGCUUCAUCUUUUUCAGGUGAGUUUGCGGUAAAAGUUUUGGGUGGAGCAAUUGAUUGCUUUGUGUGUGUUUGUACUGUUUCAGGUUGUUUUAAAGGCUACAGACUUUUCACUCUUGGAAGGUGAGUGGAGAUACUGUUUCUUCUCUUAGGGGUGCAGGACAAGACAUAUUGCAGGCCAUGAUAGGAAUGGCAGGAACUUUAACUUUGGAUGAAUCCUGGUUUUGAAAAGCUCAAGUGGUGGCAUUUUAUCUGUGCCAGACUGAACCCCAAUGAGCUCAAAACUCCUGUUCCAGAGCAAAACCAUUGUUGGUCCCUGGUGUUGGGGAAAAGUCUACAGCAGUUAAAUGUAAUCUUGGACAGCUGGUGCUUAUGAUUGGUUUGUGAGUAGAGUAAAUGUGAAAUGAUAUGAGGCUCUUCAGCCCGGUAUCAAUUUGUCUUUACAGGUAUUUGUUUGGAAAACUUCUGGCUCCUGUGGUACUUUAGCCUUCACAUCUUACUUGGGAUCCUUUUUCUUUUGGUAAGUAUGAGUAGAUGAACAAUUUCGCUAUGGUUACAUUAUUAAGCACCAGUAUUUUUGUUCUUACAGAUGUACCACUGCGGCCAUGUGAUUUGCAGACUGGGAUUUUCAUCCUCGGCAGGUUAUUUGGUAUCCUGUUUACAUUGGUCGGUAACUGUGGAUGGACAAAGUAUAAGUUUUUCAUUUUGGCAAGCAUCUGGCUGCUGUGGUACUCUAGCCUUGCAUCUUUCUUGGGAUUUUGUUUUAUUUGGUAGGUAUCACUGGAUGGCCUAAUUAUCCUUCAGCCAGAGUAUCUUUGUUGUGCAGGUGAUCAGAUGUGCAUUGAUCAGAGAUAUUUCAGCUUCAAUUUGUCAUAGAUUAUCUUGGUUUGGAAAGUAACUGGAAUCUGUGCUACUUCAGCUUUGACAGAUUACUUGGGAUCCUUUUGGUAGGUACAAGUGGAUUCACUAAAUCAUCAUGGUGUUGUCAUUCUUCAGCCUUGGCAUCUUUCCUGGGAUUCUAUGUAUCAUUUGGUAGGUAUGAGUGGAUGGAGAAAUGUAUUUUGGUGUUGUCAUACUGCAUUCAGGGCUUUGAUGUAGGAAAUCUAGCAGCAGAUGAUGGUAACCUUAAACUGCUGGAGCCUGGGAUAUGUGAACAGAGGAACGGAUGUGCAUGAAUUAAGACAGAUUCUUCAGCCUUUUCGUGUUUUGGAAAAUAUUGCUGUGAUACUUAAGCCUUGACCUCUUUCCUGGGAUCCUAUUUCAUUUGGUAAUUGAUGUAGAAAUGUAUUUUUGUGUUGUCAUUCUUCAUCUUCAAUGUUUUUGCAGGUCUUCCUUUUCGGCAAUCUGCCCACUGUGUGGUACAUCAGCCUUGGAAUUUUACUUGGGGUCCUGUUUCCUUUGGUAGGUAUCAGGGUGUGACCAUUCACUAUGUUAUUAUUUUAUUCUUUAGCCCAUGCAUCUUUCUUUCCAGGUUGGUCCCCAUUGUAGAAAAGGUCUAGUAGCAGAUGCAGGUCAUAUUGGACUGUUGGAGACUGUGAUUGGCAUGUGAGUAAAGGAAUAGAUGUACAUGAAUUAAGAGAUUCUUCAGCCUUUUCAUUUAUCUAUUUACAGGUUUUUGCGAUUUGGCAAAUCUCACUUUGAUCCUUCAGACUUGGCAUCUUACAUGAGAUACUAUUUCCUUUGGUAGGUAUGAGUUGAUGGAAUUAUUUUGCUGUAGUCAUUCUUGAGCCAGGGCAUCCUUGCUUUUACAGGUUGGGCUUUGGUUUAGCAAGUCUAGCAGCAAAUGCAGGGAACUGGUGGACUGCUGGAGUCUGUGACCCAUGUGAGAGUAAAGGAAUUGAUGUGCAUGGAUAAGGAUAGUUCAGCCUUUUCAUUGAUUUUUACAGGUCAUCCUCCAUCCUCUGGAAAACGUCUGCCCACUGUAUUACUUCAGCCUGGGCAUUAUUCUUGGGAUCUU